CCCUUAGAUGUUCUGGGCCGCACACGCGCUACACUGAAGGAGGCAGCGUGUACUCCUGGAUCGAAAGAUUUGGGUAACCCGCGAAUCUCCUUCGUGCUAGGGAUUGAGGUUUGCAAUUAUCCUUCAUGAACGAGGAAUUCCCAGUAAGUGCAAGUCAUAAGCUUGCGCUGACUACGUCCCUGCCCUUUGUACACACCGCCCGUCGCUACUAUUGAUUGAAUGAUUUAGUGAGGACUUCGGACUGGGACCGAUGCGGCUUUCGGGCUGCGUCGGUAUUCUGGAAAGAUGUCCAAACUGUAUCAUUUAGAGGAAGUAAAAGUCGUAACA
Molecule: ribosomal RNA, 327 nt
Filed under: uncultured eukaryote
Lineage: Eukaryota
Description: partial 18S ribosomal RNA
Rfam family: Eukaryotic small subunit ribosomal RNA
Source: RNAcentral